RNAcentral lists this ribosomal RNA (1252 nucleotides) under 'Prunus persica' witches'-broom phytoplasma. RNAcentral describes it as "bacterial SSU rRNA". It matches the Rfam family "Bacterial small subunit ribosomal RNA", at positions 153 to 1399 of the family's 1533-position model. Lineage: Bacteria; Bacillati; Mycoplasmatota; Mollicutes; Acholeplasmatales; Acholeplasmataceae. The record is from RNAcentral.
GAAACAGUUGCUAAGACUGGAUAGGAAAUUAAAAGGCAUCUUUUAAUUUUUAAAAGACCUUUUUCGGAAGGUAUGCUUAAAGAGGGGCUUGCGCCACAUUAGUUAGUUGGUAAGGUAAAGGCUUACCAAGACGAUGAUGUGUAGCUGGACUGAGAGGUCGAACAGCCACAUUGGGACUGAGACACGGCCCAAACUCCUACGGGAGGCAGCAGUAAGGAAUUUUUGGCAAUGGAGGAAACUCUGACCGAGCGACGCCGCGUGAACAAUGAAGUACUUCGGUAUGUAAAGUUCUUUUAUUGAAAAAGAAAAAAUAGUGGAAAAACUAUCUUGACAUUAUUCAAUGAAUAAGCCCCGGCUAAUUAUGUGCCAGCAGCCGCGGUAAUACAUAAGGGGCGAGCGUUAUCCGGAAUUAUUGGGCGUAAAGGGUGCGUAGGCGGUUUGAUAAGUCUAUAGUUUAAUUGCAGUGCUUAACGCUGUACCGCUAUAGAAACUGUCUGACUAGAGUUAGAUAGAGGCAAGCGGAAUUCCAUGUGUAGCGGUAAAAUGCGUAAAUAUAUGGAGGAACACCAGAGGCGUAGGCGGCUUGCUGGGUCUUAACUGACGCUGAGGCACGAAAGCGUGGGGAGCAAACAGGAUUAGAUACCCCUGGUAGUCCACGCCGUAAACGAUGAGUACUAAGUGUCGGGUUUUGGCUCGGUACUGAAGUUAACACAUUAAGUACUCCGCCUGAGUAGUACGUACGCAAGUAUGAAACUUAAAGGAAUUGACGGGACCCCGCACAAGCGGUGGAUCAUGUUGUUUAAUUCGAAGAUACACGAAAAACCUUACCAGGUCUUGACAUAAUUUUGCGACAUUAUAGAAAAUAUAAUGAAGGUUAUCAGAAUUACAGGUGGUGCAUGGUUGUCGUCAGCUCGUGUCGUGAGAUGUUAGGUUAAGUCCUAAAACGAGCGCAACCCUUGUCGUUAGUUGCGACCACAUAAUGGUGAGCACUUUAGCGAGACUGCCAAUGAAAAAUUGGAGGAAGGUGAGGAUUACGUCAAAUCAUCAUGCCCCUUAUGAUCUGGGCUACAAACGUGAUACAAUGGCUGUUACAAAGAGUAGCUACAACGUGAGUUUUUAGCCAAUCUCAAAAAAACAGUCUCAGUUCGGAUUGAAGUCUGCAACUCGACUUCAUGAAGUUGGAAUCGCUAGUAAUCGCGAAUCAGCAUGUCGCGGUGAAUACGUUCUCGGGGUUUGUACACACCGCCCGUCA